RNAcentral lists this long non-coding RNA (382 nucleotides) under Zea mays. Its description in RNAcentral is "long non-coding RNA NONZMAT003819". Lineage: Eukaryota; Viridiplantae; Streptophyta; Magnoliopsida; Poales; Poaceae. The record is from RNAcentral.
CUCAGUUCGCAGCGAGAAACCUCCGGUCCAUGAGGUGGUGCGGGUUCGCGGCGGUUCUUCAACUACGGCGAGAAAUUUCGCCCACCACAGCCAGUCGCUCUGCCCGCCCACGGUUCACGCACCCACAGUAGGGCUGGGCGAAUCUCCAGGUACUCUAAUUGAACCCAAAUGUGGCCGACAAUGAGCGGGCAUUUUUGCGAUGUAAGAUCCCCGCUCUCCCUCUCUCUAUCCAGUGGUUGACGGCGAGCCGAUGGCGCUAUGGUUAGGGAAAUUGGGAUCGUGGCGGCGCGGACGGGUCCUAGGGAUGCUAAUAAGGGCACGAGUGUGGCCGAGGGGUCCGGGAAGUGGGCGUUAGCUGGUCAAUCUCGGAGAAAACGCGGUG